CCUACGGGGGGCUGCAGUGGGGAAUAUUGGACAAUGGGGGAAACCCUGAUCCAGCGACGCCGCGUGUGUGAAGAAGGCCUGCGGGUUGUAAAGCACUUUCGGUGGGAACGAAAUAUGCCGGGCUAAUAUCCCGGCAGGCUGACGUUACCCAAUGAAGAAGCACCGGCUAACUCUGUGCCAGCAGCCGCGGUAAUACAGAGGGUGCGAGCGUUAAUCGGAAUUACUGGGCGUAAAGCGCACGUAGGCGGGUGAAAUCCCCGGGCUCAACCUGGGAACUGCAUUCGAAACUGCGAUGCUUGAGUAUGGGAGAGGACAGCGGAAUUCCGGGUGUAGCGGUGAAAUGCGUAGAUAUCCGGAGGAACAUCAGUGGCGAAGGCGGCUGUCUGGCCCAAUACUGACGCUCAGGUGCGAAAGCGUGGGGAGCAAACAGGAUUAGAUACCCGGGUAGUC
RNAcentral lists this ribosomal RNA (450 nucleotides) under uncultured bacterium. RNAcentral describes it as "partial 16S ribosomal RNA". It matches the Rfam family "Bacterial small subunit ribosomal RNA", at positions 338 to 795 of the family's 1533-position model. The record is from RNAcentral.